RNAcentral lists this ribosomal RNA (253 nucleotides) under uncultured bacterium. Its description in RNAcentral is "partial 16S ribosomal RNA". It matches the Rfam family "Bacterial small subunit ribosomal RNA", at positions 524 to 776 of the family's 1533-position model. The record is from RNAcentral.
UACAGAGGUCCCAAGCGUUGUUCGGGUUCACUGGGCGUAAAGGGUGCGUAGGCGGUCGGGUAAGUCUGGCGUGAAAUCUCCAAGCCUAACUUGGAAACUGCGUUGGAUACUAUCCGGCUCGAGGAAUGGAGGGGAGACUGGAAUACUUGGUGUAGCAGUGAAAUGCGUAGAUAUCAAGUGGAACACCAGUGGCGAAGGCGGCCUUCUGGACCAGUACUGACGCUCAUGCACGAAAGCGUGGGGAGCAAACAGG